RNAcentral lists this ribosomal RNA (440 nucleotides) under uncultured bacterium. Its description in RNAcentral is "partial 16S ribosomal RNA". It matches the Rfam family "Bacterial small subunit ribosomal RNA", at positions 338 to 795 of the family's 1533-position model. The record is from RNAcentral.
CCUACGGGAGGCAGCAGUGGGGAAUAUUGCACAAUGGGGGGAACCCUGAUGCAGCGACGCCGCGUGAGUGCAGAAGUAUUUCGGUAUGUAAAGCUCUAUCAGCAGGGCAGAAAAUGACGGUACCUGACUCAGAAGCCCCUGCUAACUACGUGCCAGCAGCCGCGGUAAUACGUAGGGGGCAAGCGUUAUCCGGAUGUACUGGGUGUAAAGGGAGCGUAGACGGUGAUGCAAGUCUGAAGUGAAAGCCCAUGGCUCAACCAUGGGACUGCUUUGGAAACUGUGAAUCUGGAGUGCAGGAGAGGUAAGCGGAAUUCCUGGUGUAGCGGUGAAAUGCGUAGAUAUGAGGAGGAACACCAGUGGCGAAGGCGGCUUACUGGACUGUAACUGACGUUGAGGCUCGAAGGCGUGGGGAGCAAACAGGAUUAGAUACCCUAGUAGUC